AUGAUUGCGAGCUCUAGUGUCGCGAGCUCUAGUGCAUUGUUGGAGAGCCUCUCAACAAGGCAUAAGCACGAGUUGGCCACCCUUGAGGCCGCCUGGCAGGGUUGUCGUGUGAGGCGGAUAGAGGUCGGCCUGCCGGCCUACUCCUCAGAGGUCUCCGACAAUGACCUGACGAUGGAGAUAGCCUUCGACGACGAGUUGGCGCCCCUGCCCGCCCUGUUCCAUGCCGGCUUGACCAUGGAGCAUGCGCAGGCGCACUUCAAGGAUGCCAUGGCGGAGCAGCACGGCGUGGAUGGGCAUCACAACGGUAAGAAAUUCCCCUGCCCGCUCCGGAUCCUUCCAUCCAUCACCAGCUCCACUUUCCUUUUAUUUCCGCCGCCACGCCACGCGCACCUCGGCCAAGGACAAGGCUCCGGCUGCCGCCACCGCCUCUGCCCCGGCUAUAAGCCGCGCCCUUUGGCCGGCCCGCUCCUCCUCCUCCUCGCUUCGCCCGGGCCGUGCCUUCCUCCUCCUCGCCGCGCCCUGCCCGGUCCGCUCCUCCUCCUCUUCGUCCAGGCGGUGCCUCUCUCCUCCGACCUCCCCGCCGCACUCCGGCUGGUCCGCUGCUCCUCCACCCUUCGCCCGGGCCGGGUGUAUGUCCUCCUCGAGCCGGAUUUCAUCUUGCUCGUCCUCCUCGAUCAAUUUCCCCCUCUAGAAUCGCGCCGUGGGUGCCAUUUCCAGCAGGCAGCAGAGCAGAAAGUAGUGCAAAUCAUGUGGCUGCUGCUUGACAUUGAACACCUGCUGCUGCUACUGCUGGACAAGACUCUGAAAUUUGGUGAUAAAGAAAAGCUGAAUUAUUUCCGGAUAGGACAGAGGUGCAAUGUUUACAUCCAUGGUAGAAGGUUCUUUAACACUGAACUCAUCAAAGGUCCUUGGACUCAAGAGGAAGAUGAAAAAAUUAUUGACCUUGUAAACAAGUAUGGAUUAACAAAAUGGUCGCAUUGUCAGCUACCAGAACUUCCUGCUGCUGAUCCUAGGAUGUUUCCGAACAUGUUCAAUUUGUCCGCCCUAGGACAGGUUACUCGGCAUGCUCUGCGUGUUUACUUUGGUGGACUUCCUCCGAUCGCUAAUGAACAGACGGUUGCUCUAUUCUUCAAUCAAGUUCUGGCUGCUAUCGGGGGAAACACAUUUGGUCUAGGUGAUGCAGUUGUUAAUAUGAAGCUGAUUUUUGAAUUCAUUCAAAACAUCUUAGUUGUUAAUAUGAAGCUGAUUUUUGAAUUCAUUCAAAACAUCUUAGGUGGCAUAAUCAUCUGA
RNAcentral lists this ribosomal RNA (1290 nucleotides) under Triticum aestivum (bread wheat). Its description in RNAcentral is "partial small subunit ribosomal RNA". Lineage: Eukaryota; Viridiplantae; Streptophyta; Magnoliopsida; Poales; Poaceae. The record is from RNAcentral.